UUGCAUUCAACACAUUUGGGGUUUUACACGCACUUACUAUUUCCGCCAAAUUCGUGUUUUGCAAUCCUGAGCAAAUGCAGUUAAUUUAUCAUAGGUUAAUGGGAUCUACUUAAGACUCCACCUAGUAUUUGUC
Molecule: long non-coding RNA, 133 nt
Organism: Sphaerodactylus townsendi
Lineage: Eukaryota; Metazoa; Chordata; Lepidosauria; Squamata; Sphaerodactylidae
Exons: 3
Source: RefSeq, a predicted model, not a curated record